This 253-nucleotide ribosomal RNA is filed under the name uncultured bacterium. Its description in RNAcentral is "partial 16S ribosomal RNA". It matches the Rfam family "Bacterial small subunit ribosomal RNA", at positions 524 to 776 of the family's 1533-position model. The record is from RNAcentral.
UACGUAGGGUGCUAGAGUUGUCCGGAUUUACUGGGUGUAAAGGGUGCUCAGGUGGGUUUGUAAGUCAGACGUGAAAUCCCUCGGCUUAACCGGGGAACUGCGUCUGAUACUGGAUGGCUUGAAUCCGGGAGAGGGAUGCGGAAUUCCAGGUGUAGCGGUGAAAUGCGUAGAUAUCUGGAGGAACACCGGUGGCGAAGGCGGCAUCCUGGACCGGCAUUGACGCUGAGGAGCGAAAGCCAGGGGAGCAAACGGG